CAAGAUUAGUCUUUGCACAAAAUUAAUUUGACAAACAGAGAAAAAUAGGGUAAAGAGUUCAUUCUGCAAAGCAAAUGGAUUGUGAGUCAAAUAUGAGGCCUCUGGCAUUUCUUAUUAAAAUCCGAAUAAAAAAAAAAGAAAGAAAAAAAACAAAUGAACAAUCCCUUUGGCUACAUACACCAGAUAAUUAAUUAAGUUCUAUACAUGAACAAUUGAAAACACAAGCCCUUCAUGCAGAAACAAAACACAAACACAGCUGCCCUUCACAUCUCUACCACCUGUCCAUUGAAAAAAGACAACAAAAAGGAAGCUCAUCAGUUGUUAGUGCAGGUCACGUCAUGUGGUCCAAUGAAAAGGCAUGUAUGUUUGCUUAAUUAUGCAGUUUCAUUUCUGUUUCUUACUUUUCCUUCAAGCAAAAGUAAAAGAAAUAUAUAUAAAAAAAUUGCUUACAGAAAUUGUUGAAGGAUCACUUGGUGAGGAUGUAGAUGGCAUAGAUAAUACCAGGGAGAUAACCAAAAAUAGUCAAAAUCAAACAGAUCCAAAAUUCCGCCUGAAAAAUCAUAAAUCCGCCCCGAACAUAAGCAUAUAUUUACAACUUAUUGACGUCAUAUUUAUAAGAACCAUGAAUAAAAACUACAUCAAAAUUCUGUCUAUAAAACACACACAAAUAUGUUAUGUAAAAAAAAUACUGACUUCGCAGCCAAACUUGAGGAAGACACCAAGAGGAGGCAAGAGGAUGGCUAUGAUGAUGUCAACGAAAGUUGCUGUGCCCAUUCUAAUGGAGUUUUGUUUUGUUUUGUUUUUCUGGUUCUUCUGAGAAAAAAUUUAGAGGAACUUUGAGAAAAAAUCCAACUGCUUUGUGUUGUUUGACAGGAACUGGGGAGCGUAGAGUGUGGUUUUAUAUAGAGUUUGC
This 913-nucleotide long non-coding RNA is filed under the name Prunus dulcis (almond). Its description in RNAcentral is "sRNA ncRNA". The record is from RNAcentral. Lineage: Eukaryota; Viridiplantae; Streptophyta; Magnoliopsida; Rosales; Rosaceae.